UUUUUUUUAAAUCUACAAACUGAGUUUGUAGAGAUCAUUGGCUACUAGGCUUUGGUAAAAUGACAUUAAGUUUUAUCCUUUCGUUUUACCUUUCUCUUCUUUUCUUCCUCCCACUGCUCCACCUCCUCUCCUGUACUCACUGCUCUGGUUUGGAUAUGAUUUGUCCCCCAUAGGUUCAUGUACUGUAAGUUUUACCUUCCUGCUGUGAAGUUACCAUGUUGAGGUGGUAGAAUUUUAAGAGGUGGGGCCUUGUGGGAGGUAAUUCAGCCAUUAGGGCAUCACCCUUGGAGGGGAUUAAUGCUGGCCUCUCAGAGGAAGAAUGGGGGGCAGUAGCUCAGUAGAAGAGCUACCAUGUGUGAAGCACUGGGUUUGAGCCUCAGCACCACAUAAAAAUAAAUAAGUAAAAUAAAAAUUAAAAUAAUUUUAUAAAAAGAGAAAGAGUGGCCUCUCCCAUUCUCUGUCUUCCUUUCUUACCAUCCUAUGGAUCCCCAGCCCUCCCCUGCCACACACACACACCCAUAUUUCUCUUUUUCCUGCCAAGAUUCCAUCCAACAUGCUGCAAUUCAGCCAAGGGGGUUCUCACUUAAAACUGAACAGAUAGAGCCACGUAAUUUUGGAUUUUCAGCUUCUAAAACUAUGACUAAAUAAACCUCUUUUUUUUCAUAAUUUAACCAGGCUCAGGUAUCUUUUUAUAGCAACAGAAAGGAACUAAUACACCACCCAAAUUCUCUCUUACUCUUCUCUCCUUUUCCCUUUCUCCUUUCUCUAAUGGAUUGUCUUCUUUUAUUUUUCAUAUAAUCCAACAAGUAUUCACUGUCUAUUAAUUUGAACCACUCAUGUUUAGCCAAGAUCUUUUAAGCCAUUUAAAAUAUAGGAGAAGGAGAUAACAUGGAUUUAAAAAUAUAAAGAAAUUUUAAACCCUUGGACUUGUGUGUGUGUGUGUGUGUGUGUGUGUGUGAGAGAGAGAGAGAGAGAGACAGAGAGAGACAGAGAGAGAGAUAAGAAUUGAAACCAGAGCCUCAAAUAUAUUAUGCUUCAUUGAACUACACCCCCAACACUAAUUUCUUGGAUUCUUACAUACCUCUUCUUUUUAGGGCAAAACCUAAAUUCAAAGACAUAAUAACAGAACUUUUAAAAACUACUUUAGGCCUGCUUCUUUUCUACUUGAUAUUUAGAGAACAAAGGAUCCAUAACACAGUCAGACCACCUCUACCACUGAGAACAACGUUUUAAAAAGUAGACAGUAUAUGUUUUGAGAAGCAUCUGCUUGAACACAUCUGAAUAACAGGGGGGGAAAGCCUGGCAUGGUGGCGCACCCUGUAAUCCCAGCAGCUCUGGAGGCUGAGACAGGAGAAUCCUGAGUUCAAAGCAGCCUCAGUAAUGGCGAGGCACUAAGCAACUCAGUGAGACCUUGUCUCUAAAUAAAAU
RNAcentral lists this long non-coding RNA (1428 nucleotides) under Marmota monax (woodchuck). Lineage: Eukaryota; Metazoa; Chordata; Mammalia; Rodentia; Sciuridae. The record is from RNAcentral.